Molecule: ribosomal RNA, 253 nt
Filed under: uncultured bacterium
Lineage: Bacteria
Description: partial 16S ribosomal RNA
Rfam family: Bacterial small subunit ribosomal RNA
Source: RNAcentral
UACGUAGGGGGCAAGCGUUGUCCGGAUUUAUUGGGCGUAAAGAGCGUGUAGGCGGCUUUACAGGUCCGUUGUGAAAACUCGAGGCUCAACCUCGAGACGCCGGUGGAAACCGUAAGGCUAGAGUCCGGAAGAGGAGAGUGGAAUUCCUGGUGUAGCGGUGAAAUGCGCAGAUAUCAGGAAGAACACCCGUGGCUAAGGCGGCUCUCUAGUACGGUACUGACGCUGAGACGCGAAAGCGUGGGGACCAAACAGG